RNAcentral lists this ribosomal RNA (239 nucleotides) under uncultured bacterium. Its description in RNAcentral is "partial 16S ribosomal RNA". It matches the Rfam family "Bacterial small subunit ribosomal RNA", at positions 15 to 245 of the family's 1533-position model. The record is from RNAcentral.
GAUCAGGCUCAGGAUGAACGCUAGCUACAGGCUUAACACAUGCAAGUCGAGGGGCAGCAUGAACUUAGCUUGCUAAGUUUGAUGGCGACCGGCGCACGGGUGAGUAACACGUAUCCAACCUGCCGAUGACUCGGGGAUAGCCUUUACGAAAGAAAGAUUAAUACCCGAUGGCAUAGUUCUUCCGCAUGGUAGAACUAUUAAAGAAUUUCGGUCAUCGAUGGGGAUGCGUUCCAUUUAGG